AUACGGAGGGUGCAAGCGUUAUCCGGAUUUAUUGGGUUUAAAGGGUCCGUAGGCGGAUCUGUAAGUCAGUGGUGAAAUCUCAUAGCUUAACUAUGAAACUGCCAUUGAUACUGCAGGUCUUGAGUAAGGUAGAAGUAGCUGGAAUAAGUAGUGUAGCGGUGAAAUGCAUAGAUAUUACUUAGAACACCAAUUGCGAAGGCAGGUUACUAUGUCUUAACUGACGCUGAUGGACGAAAGCGUGGGGAGCGAACAGGAUUAGAAACCCUAGUAGUCC
Molecule: ribosomal RNA, 274 nt
Filed under: uncultured bacterium
Lineage: Bacteria
Description: partial 16S ribosomal RNA
Rfam family: Bacterial small subunit ribosomal RNA
Source: RNAcentral